GACGAACGCUGGCGGCGUGCUUAACACAUGCAAGUCGAACGGUGAAGCGCCUUCCUUUUUGGUGGGUGUGGAUGAGUGGCGAACGGGUGAGUAACACGUGAGUAACCUGCCCCCUUCUUCUGGAUAACCGCAUGAAAGUGUGGCUAAUACGGGAUAUUCUGGGUCUGUCGCAUGAUGGGUCUGGGAAAGAUAUUGUUUCGGUGGGGGAUGGGCUCGCGGCCUAUCAGCUUGUUGGUGGGGUGAUGGCCUACCAAGGCGGUGACGGGUAGCCGGCCUGAGAGGGUGGACGGUCACACUGGGACUGAGACACGGCCCAGACUCCUACGGGAGGCAGCAGUGGGGAAUAUUGCACAAUGGGCGCAAGCCUGAUGCAGCGACGCCGCGUGAGGGAUGGAGGCCUGCGGGUUGUGAACCUCUUUCGCCAGUGAAGCAGGCCUGCCUCGUUUGUGGGUGGGUUGACGGUAGCUGGAUAAGAAGCGCCAGCUAACUACGUG
This 494-nucleotide ribosomal RNA is filed under the name uncultured bacterium. Its description in RNAcentral is "partial 16S ribosomal RNA". It matches the Rfam family "Bacterial small subunit ribosomal RNA", at positions 28 to 507 of the family's 1533-position model. The record is from RNAcentral.